CCUACGGGUGGCUGCAGUGGGGAAUAUUGGACAAUGGGGGCAACCCUGAUCCAGCCAUGCCGCGUGUGUGAAGAAGGCCCUCGGGUUGUAAAGCACUUUCAGUGAGGAAGAAUGCCUGGUGGUUAAUACCCAUCAGGAAAGACAUCACUCACAGAAGAAGCACCGGCUAACUCCGUGCCAGCAGCCGCGGUAAUACGGAGGGUGCGAGCGUUAAUCGGAAUUACUGGGCGUAAAGCGCGCGUAGGUGGCUUGAUAAGCCGGUUGUGAAAGCCCCGGGCUCAACCUGGGAACGGCAUCCGGAACUGUCAAGCUAGAGUGCAGGAGAGGAAGGUAGAAUUCCCGGUGUAGCGGUGAAAUGCGUAGAGAUCGGGAGGAAUACCAGUGGCGAAGGCGGCCUUCUGGACUGACACUGACACUGAGGUGCGAAAGCGUGGGUAGCAAACAGGAUUAGAUACCCGUGUAGUC
RNAcentral lists this ribosomal RNA (465 nucleotides) under Vreelandella stevensii. Its description in RNAcentral is "partial 16S ribosomal RNA". It matches the Rfam family "Bacterial small subunit ribosomal RNA", at positions 338 to 795 of the family's 1533-position model. Lineage: Bacteria; Pseudomonadati; Pseudomonadota; Gammaproteobacteria; Oceanospirillales; Halomonadaceae. The record is from RNAcentral.